AUUGAACGCUGGCGGCAUGCUUUACACAUGCAAGUCGAACGGCAGCGCGGGGCAACCUGGCGGCGAGUGGCGAACGGGUGAGUAAUAUAUCGGAACGUACCCAGAAGUGGGGGAUAACGUAGCGAAAGUUACGCUAAUACCGCAUACGAUCUACGGAUGAAAGUAGGGGACCGCAAGGCCUUAUGCUUUUGGAGCGGCCGAUAUCUGAUUAGCUAGUUGGUGAGGUAAAGGCUCACCAAGGCGACGAUCAGUAGCUGGUCUGAGAGGACGACCAGCCACACUGGAACUGAGACACGGUCCAGACUCCUACGGGAGGCAGCAGUGGGGAAUUUUGGACAAUGGGCGCAAGCCUGAUCCAGCAAUGCCGCGUGAGUGAAGAAGGCCUUCGGGUUGUAAAGCUCUUUUGUCAGGGAAGAAACGGUAGAGGCUAAUAUCCUUUGCUAAUGACGGUACCUUAAGAAUAAGCACCGGCUAACUACGUG
RNAcentral lists this ribosomal RNA (482 nucleotides) under uncultured bacterium. RNAcentral's name for it is "partial 16S ribosomal RNA". It matches the Rfam family "Bacterial small subunit ribosomal RNA", at positions 30 to 507 of the family's 1533-position model. The record is from RNAcentral.